Molecule: long non-coding RNA, 405 nt
Organism: Vicia villosa (hairy vetch)
Lineage: Eukaryota; Viridiplantae; Streptophyta; Magnoliopsida; Fabales; Fabaceae
Exons: 3
Source: RefSeq, a predicted model, not a curated record
CCCAAAAAGGACCCUGUAAAAAAAAAAACACAGAUUCCAUCCUUGCCAAAUUCAGAUUCCCUCAUUUUAAACCCUCAGUGGAUGAGAUCCCAUAAAAAGCUGACAUGGACUUGCCACGUUGGCAUAUCUUAUUAUUUGAGGGUUUGUACGCAGCGCUUCCUCCAUCUACAACAUCAACCUGCAUACGAGCUUCAAAGAAUGUCUCGAAGCGCAAGUUCAGAGAUUAAUAGCUGUGGGAGGAAAGCUCCAAUCUGCGGGCACCAUCAACCUAUGCGAAUGUUUGUGUCGAAAUCGAAGUCAAACCCAGGAAGAAAAUAUUGGAAGUGUAGAAAUUGGGGGAAGAAUGAUGAUUGCAAUGGGUUUCAAUGGGACGAUGAAAUUGAUAGUGAAAUAGUUGAAGGUGGC